AAAAGAAAUGCUUGUGUGGUCAUUAAAACAGUUCUGCUUAACCCUAAAUAUGUAGCCUUGUCUCGUUAUUGAAGGGUACUUGAUUCCAGCUUAAUCACUAGCUCUUUUAAGAGCUCUACUUCUCUCUCUCUACAAGGAUCCAGCGGAUGGGAUAUCGGGAAUACUCUGAAGCACAGCCUCUUGCCGGGAAAAGGACGUCUCCAAUGGCAUACACCCCUCCAGCAACCAGGGUGGUUCUGCCCUGCGGUAGUCAGAGAUCCUGCUAAGAAGGGAGGCCUAAACCAAGAUGAUGGACUACAGAAUAGAGGAUGGGGGAAAGUAUGCGACACUGAAACCUGCAGAAUAUCCCCAUAAUCAAUAGUGUUUAACUCGACUAUGGUCUACCCACUAUGGCGUGUCAACUUGUCCUAGUUUGGACCAUGCAAU
This is a non-coding RNA of Pelobates cultripes (western spadefoot toad), 426 nucleotides long. NCBI's taxonomy places the organism in Eukaryota, Metazoa, Chordata, Amphibia, Anura, Pelobatidae. The record is from the annotation of a GenBank genome assembly.